This 472-nucleotide ribosomal RNA is filed under the name uncultured organism. RNAcentral describes it as "partial 16S ribosomal RNA". It matches the Rfam family "Bacterial small subunit ribosomal RNA", at positions 333 to 797 of the family's 1533-position model. The record is from RNAcentral.
ACACUCCUACGGGAGGCAGCAGUGGGGAAUUUUGGACAAUGGGCGAAAGCCUGAUCCAGCCAUGCCGCGUGCAGGAUGAAGGCCUUCGGGUUGUAAACUGCUUUUGUACGGAACGAAACGGCCUUUUCUAAUAAAGAGGGCUAAUGACGGUACCGUAAGAAUAAGCACCGGCUAACUACGUGCCAGCAGCCGCGGUAAUACGUAGGGUGCAAGCGUUAAUCGGAAUUACUGGGCGUAAAGCGUGCGCAGGCGGUUAUGUAAGACAGUUGUGAAAUCCCCGGGCCCAACCUGGGAACUGCAUCUGUGACUGCAUAGCUAGAGUACGGUAGAGGGGGAUGGAAUUCCGCGUGUAGCAGUGAAAUGCGUAGAUAUGCGGAGGAACACCGAUGGCGAAGGCAAUCCCCUGGACCUGUACUGACGCUCAUGCACGAAAGCGUGGGGAGCAAACAGGAUUAGAUACCCCAGUAGUCCC